Molecule: long non-coding RNA, 8403 nt
Filed under: Aquilegia coerulea
Lineage: Eukaryota; Viridiplantae; Streptophyta; Magnoliopsida; Ranunculales; Ranunculaceae
Description: long non-coding RNA (ACOE_LNC001682)
Source: RNAcentral
UGGAAACCAUUCAAUUUUUUAUUUAUUCAUUUUUUUAUUUUAUUUUUUUGAUAUAGGUAGCCCUUUAUUAUAUACUGGAAUACCAUUCAAUUGGUCCAUCAAUAUAAAUCACCAUUUCGAUCCCCUACACAGUAAACAUUUACAUCGCUGACUCCUAAACCAUGAACACAGAACACCUAGCGAGAGAGACAUUGGGAUAUGAACAUUGUUUUGAAAAAAAUUGUGGUCCGCUAAAGGUAAAAAGCAGGAUCUUGAAGAGCUCAAGAGAGAGUGGCAAUAUCAACCUCGUGUGGGAAUUUGAAUGUAUCUGCUGCUCCAAAUUUUCUCUUCUCUUCCCAAUCUUCACUAGACUCUUCUUCAGAACUAUCAUCAUGUCCAUCAUGUUGACUACGAGGAGUCAUGGGAUCAUAAACACUUUUAGAGCGGGAAUCUUUUGUUGCAAGCAUGUUGACUUGACCAAGGUGAGAAAUCUCUACAACAACAGUAUCAUCGUCAACAGGAAGUGGUUGUUUCCAAGGUUCCCCAUCAAUCCUCAUAAAAGUAUGGUCUGCCGCACCCUUGUUAAACUCAAACCGAAUGCCAUGUGCCUAGAUAAGAGUAAUAGCAGUUGUCAGAUGUCAUGGGUGGAGUAUGUUAAAAUGCUUUGAAAAUAAUAGUUGCUAAUCAUAAUGAAAGAAAAUAAUUUCUCCCAAACAUGAGGUUUAGUGGUGGAAGACAGCAGGUUCCCCUAUGCAGACAAAUAAUGAAGCUGGGUGAAUCUAUUGCUAAGUGUGUGGAUCAGACCAUGCUGUCCUCUGUGGACAUUACAAUGGAAGACCCAUGUGGGCUCUACCAUAAAUGACCUUCACUUAUGUGAUGUGCAGCAGGAUGAAGAAAUCCGUUUGAAAGUUUGGCCAUCCGGUUUUCCAUUACCACUUAAAGAUUGAAAGAAAACAAAAGGAAAGACAUUCUACUCCAACCAUAACAACAACCACCUUAACCUCCCUAACUUCUGCUGCUAAUGGAUACUGGAAAAUGAUUACCUUCUUAUGGACAUCAAGCACAAUGAGCAUUUUGAACAUAGAUUGAAUGUCUAACCUGAGCAAGGCGAGUCCCAUGUCCUUUCGGCGCGUACAAAACAAGCCCAUGCCAAGCAUCUCUAAAACCGACAACCUCGAGCAAGCCAUCAUCUACAAACGGUGCUGUCAAGUCUCUCUGUAGAUUAUAUCACCAAAGAAUUCAUAAUGUUACCAAACAAGUCUCAAGAAAAUCAGUAAUAAUAUUUAGCAUUUUCUGCUAAAAAAAAAAAAGCAAUUGGGAGCACUACUCACAUCUCGUGUUUUUCUUUUGUUUGGUGUACCCCAAGGAUUAAGUCCACCAGAAAAGCUUGGCAAGUUAAGACAGACUAUUGAGCGGACACUGAUGAAGAUAUAAAAUUAUAAAUACCUCGUUAAUCACAACCAACAAAGAAAUAAAAAGAAAAUAGAUUAAAGAACGUAAAUAGACUUUCAGAACAACACUGCCCCAGUUUUGGGCAAGUCCCCACUUUUACUAGUUGGACUUAACAUCAUGUCAUUUUAUAUGCAGGACUUUAAGGAUAGUGAUGACAAGUGUAAUGGAAAACCACAUAAGAUUCUGCUCAAAGGAAGAAACAUUCAACAUUCUGAUACUAUUCUCCGACUUUCUCUUCAUUGUAAUAGCAAGAAGAACACUUCGAAUUAGAGAAAGAGAAUAAAACUUAGUCUGUAUUGAAUUGUGUGCUUACUGGCCAGAAUAGCACUCAAUUUAUAGGUUAAGUCGUUAUCGUUCACAACAAACACAACUGUUGGUAAGCGUCUUUUCUGAACACACAUCUUUUGUAAAGCUAGUGAAAUGGGUUUUACAUCGUAGAAAGAUCGUUUCAAUUUGAAAAGAGACAUUUGUUUGGGUAGAGUUUUUAAUAUGAUCUAGUGGACCAAAAAGAUAAAAUUACUUAUCAAUCAACCAUAUAGCCCAAGCCCAAACCAAUUUAAUUAAAUUGAACCCAUUUGAAUGAAGCAUUUUCUCAACAAACACUAGAUCAAGAGAUCGAUACGGGUUUACCCAGUGGAAAAAUUGUUUCAAUUUCAACACACAUCUUUUUUAGUAUAAUUUUUUUAGUGUGAUCCAAUGAACCCAUUUACAAAUUAAUUAAAUUAUUUCUGAGCAAAAAAGAUACGGGUUUUACCCAGUGGAAAAAUUGUUUCAAUUUCAACACACAUCUUUUUUAGUAUAAUUUUUUUAGUGUGAUCCAAUGAACCCAUUUACAAAUUAAUUAAAUUAUAUCUGAACAAAAAAAAGUAAGAAUACUUAUCAAUCCAUGCCCAAACCGAACCAAACCAAACCAAGUCGGUCAGAUGAACGGCAGCAAGCAUGUGGUGGACAAUUAUUUGCAUAACCUCACGCUAAAACAAUAUAACCCCACAUAGCAACAACGCCCUUUAUUUGCAAAAGUUGUAUAUUAACUCUUUUACCCACUACUCAAUACUCAUGUGGUACUAAUUGUUUUUUAUCACCGUAACAUUCAGAAAAGGAGAAAUCUGACAAGCUUGCAUUGUUUUAGUAAAACUAUGUGAAUGUGCACGCUGUAUGCGUGCGAACAAAAAAAUAGCUAAUAAUUAAAGAAAUAAUGGACUUAUUUAUGUCUAACAAAAUAAAAGAUAAUUUUUUUUUAUUUGAAUGUUUAUUUGAGUUUAUAACUAUUAAAAAAAAAUUUGUUGGACCGCGAACGACCGCAUUCGGCCGGGCCGCGGAAUGGCGGACCACGGUUUUUUUUUUAUAUUGAUUAUUAAAAAAAAAAAACAAAAAAAAAACCAUUAUAUAAAAACUAAAUUUGUUUUAUGCGAUUUUUAGAUCCUAUUUUUAAAAUAAAAUCACCUUAUUACCCUUUUAUUAUAGUAUAUAACUCAUAAUAUUAGGGGUAAAUUUGGAAUUAUAAAAGUAAACACGUUGUUCUGUUAUAAAUGUAACACAUCAGGCUUCGCAAGCGCCUCGGGAAUGAGGCGCCUUUAUAAAGUAGUAUAGAUAACCCAUAAUCAAAGACAUAAUGGACUUUUUUGUUUUUUUUAAUGUUUAUUUAGUUUAUAACUAUUAUAUAAAAACUAAUUUUUUUCUGCAUUGUUUUUUUUUUUUUUUUUUUUCUUUUUAACAAACCCUAUAAGUUUUCUUAUAUUAGUAGGUCCCACUUUUUUAAAAUUACCUAUUACCCUUUUUAUUGUAAUAUAUAACUCAUAAUAUAGUAGGGGUAAAUUUGGAAUCUUAUAAGUAAACACGGUAUUCUGAUAUACCUUGACACAUCAGGCUUCGAAGGCGCCUCGGGGUAAGUAUAGAUGUUUGCUCGUUUAAAAAUCAGGUGGGCCCCACUUUAAAAUUAUUUUAUAGUUUUUUAAAAUCAGGUGGAUCCCACUUUAAAAUUAUCUUAUAGUAUUUUUUCUAAAAAUCAGGUGGACCCCACUCAAUAUUAUCUUACUGAAUUUUUUUUGAAAAAAUAGGCCAACUUUAAAAUUGUUUUACUGUGUUUUUUUCUUUGUUAAAAAUAAAAUUAGAAUUUGAUAAUAAAAAUAUUAAAAAUAUAUUUUAUUGGCUUCGCAAACAAACCUCGGAAAUGAGGCGCCCUUAAAGAAGUAGUAAAGAUUGUAUUGAACUAUUCAUCUUAUUUGCACGUUUUCUUUCAUCGAUCUUGUGUAAGAGCAUGAGUCCCCAAGAACAUUAAAUGGCAAUCAAAUCCAUAGAAGACAUUUUGUCUGACAUACAGUAGCUUAGUUGCUAACAUUGUACGACCUUAGGCAGAGACCACCAGGUACCAGCUGCCAUGACAGUUAUAUAAAGAUGAUAAGAAGAAAACUGCAUUUGAACGAAAAACUAGCAUCUUCAUCAUGCUGUGUUUCCAUGCACAAGUUGCCCAAAUAUCCUUUCAUAGUUUCAUUUUGCUAUAAAUGCAGCAGGAUAUCAGUUUAUGGCACAGCACAUGAGGCAUGUAUAAAAGAUGAAGUUGUCAUUAUCUAUUUAUUUAUCUGUGAUGAAGCUUGGCUGAUCUGCCUGACUUAUGGAUAUUUUGUAUUCAUAGAGCUUUGAUAUUAUGUAUUGCUCCAUGUCGUGUGUGUACUCGAAGACCAAUAAUUAUAACAUUGAAGUGUACUUUUCACAAUUUAAUAUAAAUUUAUCCGUAAAAUUUUAUAUUUCUCUUGAUAUAUAGUUGGUGGUUAAUGAGACAUAUAAUGUCGACGAUCUCAGUGAGAUAUUGCUAUUAAUUUUGUUAGUAGUUUGAGCACAAAGCUUGUAUACAGACUUACAAGUUACAAUGAAGCUUAUUUAAAGUCUAAGUACACACUAUACAUGCACAACCUCUUUAAUUUCACACAUAAUGUUGAUCUUAAGAGUUCCCGCACGCACACUGUAUCGUGCACUUCUUUUUUACACUAGUUUUCUCCUGUAAUUGCCCUUGAACUAGGCCGAAGAGGCAGAAAAAUCCCUCUUAAGAUUGUUUUGCCAGGGUGUGACCUUGAUAAACUUAUCUCUAUAAAUUCACUGUGCUACCUAGACUACAGAAUUCAUUCAAAAUAUUAAGUGCCAUUACUGUACAUCUUGUUGUGGGACACAAAAAAAUAUAUCAGGACUCUAGUACAUACAGUGAAACCUGUCUAAAUGCACACCCUAUAAACGCCAGAAAAUUUAGAAGAUGGUCCCAUAUUGUAUGUGGUCAUGAGGGCUCCAAUCACAAAUUCACAAUACACCAUGUGCUAUUAAAGUUUUGUUUAUUUACUAAAAUAUCCCUUAUGUAUGGGUGCAGUAAACCCCAGUGAGCUUGAAUUGGCCGGUAACUCAACUGACACGUGCCAUAUAUGUUUUGAUUGGUUCUUCAUGGCCAGAUACAAAAUGGGCCACAGUCUAAAUUUUUCGAACGCAUAUUAGUCCCAUCUAUAAUAGAAAUUAAAUAUNNNNNNNNNNNNNNNNNNNNNNNNNNNNNNNNNNNNNNNNNNNNNNNNNNNNNNNNNNNNNNNNNNNNNNNNNNNNNNNNNNNNNNNNNNNNNNNNNNNNAAAAAAAAAAUUUUAAUUUCAUUUGGUUAAAGUUAAUUACAAUGAAACAGAUUAUUUGGAAUGGAUAUUAAAUUGGAAAAUAUAUAUAGAUUACCUGAAUAGAUGCACUCUAUUCAUGAUUGAUGAGUGAUGACCAAUUCAAGCAGAACAACAAAAGAGAACAAAACAAAAAUAUCACUUUGAAUUUCAGCAUUUUUCUAUAUAUAACUAUAGAAUUAUAUUAAAUCAAAAAUGAUGCCAUGCAUCAGAUGAACACCAAUUAACCUUAGCUAGGAGAGAGCGAUUGAAGAUUUUGCUAUCGGCAUGUUGAGCAUUGCAUAGCCAGAUAUGUUCACCAUUCAAAAAUGCUCUUCCUGGCAACCUGAUAAACCAUCAAAGAUGUUUGUAAAACUGCAGUCUUGUGUGAAAAACUGAAAGCAUGUGUUUGAUAAUAUAAGAAAAGUGAGCCAGUUGUCCAGUACCCCUCUCCAGGUGCAAAUGCAAAAGACAUGCAAACUACAUAGUACCAUUCCACAUCUGAGAGAUCUUCAGGUGACAAAGAAGUAGUUGAAGCGAUUUUAGCUUGUUCCUUGGUCUCGCCUAGGGACAAACGCUCGUACAUUUCCCUCAAUUUCUCACUCUUCUUCAAAUCCACCUUAUCUACAUUGAAGUAACCAUCACUCCACUCCAGAACCCUAUCAUAUUUCAUUUGCAAAUAAACAAGAGAAUAUAAUUAAGUUUAGAUAAGAAAAUUAAAAGCGUACGUAUUCAUUUAAGUUACCAAAUAAAGAAUAAAUCAUAGUAUCUUUCUUUUUUUGGGGGUGCUAUUGCAUAGUGAAUCCCCACCCUAGGCCCCUAGCUAGUUAUCACAAUAGAUCGAGGUCUGCACCCCCUCUACAAAACCUUGCGGUAGUGAAUCUCCUUGUCAAGAACUUACAUGUAGGAGAGGUGGAAGUGGUGGUGCUCUUUAGGGAAUUAAAUAACUCAAUAAGAGUUUGUCGACGACUUUCUAAAAAGGAAGGUUUUCUUUUUCUAAAUUUGAUAUGUACCAAAAAAAAAAAAAAAAGAUACAUUCAAUAUUGAGGUACAAUCCCAUCAAUUUAUAUCUGUACUAAUUCAACAGGUAAGAACUUCACUUAAAAUGGGAAAAAAACAAGUUCAAAAAAGAAAACACAUCAUUAAAGAUAUAUUCAUAUGUCUAUACUCUAUAUACCCUUCUUGUUUAGUUGAUGGUGACCAAAAAAUAGCAUAACUCCACUGAAUACUUCUAACAGAUGCAGCAAGCAUCUUUCCAAGUUGGUUUCCAAGCAUAACAACCAUUAUAGAUUACUAGUUUAUUAGCAACCUAGCUAGCAAUAACUCAAAAGUAAUUGCUAGUUUGGCUGUCACAGUUUUUGUAUUAUCAUUAGAAGCAUCAAUAUAUAUAGACAGACAGAGAAACAAAACCAAUAAAAAGUUAAAAGAAAAUCUGACAUAAAUUAAUGGUAUCUGAUCAAUGAUCAACCACCUUGAAGAAGCUAGCUAGACUUAUAAGUGGUUAGAGUUGUGUGUAUCUUGAUCACAAGGGCUCUUUGUGAGGAAUCAUGUACGGUAAGUUUUAAAGUUUGAAUCUAUAGGUUUUUUUUAAAAUGACAUCUUUAGAAAAAUUAUUACAUGUUUACACGAAAAAAUAGGAACCAAUGUAUGUGAGCCUUUGCCUCAACAACACUCCACAGUACCGGUUGAUUGUUGACAGAGUUACUGCUUAGUCCUUGCUACACCUAAUUAUGUGUGACAGUGUGAGCAGUUAGCAUCAUCAAUUUAUGAGUGUGUCUUGGUUGAGUAAGACUGUUCAUUAUUUGAAGACAUGCAACACAAUGUGUGUUGGGGAUUCAGUUAUUCUUGGAAGUGUUGUACAGUAGAAACUCUUUAAAUUUAUACUCGGUAAAUUGAUAAUCUCCUUUAAAUAAUAUAAUUCUCUGGUGUUCACCUAGUAAAUACACCCCGAUAAAUAUCUAAUUUGAAAAUUAGAAUUUUCAGUUUUUCUUGUUUGUCUCAAAAAAUAAAAAUAAAAAUAAAAAUUGAAGGCAAACCGAAGAAGAAACAAGAGGAAAAAAAAGUUUCUCCAUUUUUAUUAAUCAUUUUGAGAAGUUUCUUCUAUGUUUUUCUUUUUUAAAAUCUGAUUUUUUUAGUUUAAAGAAGUAGAUACAUAAAAAAGAAUAAAGAAGAAUCUGUUUUUAAUUAAUAGGAUCGUAGGGAAGAUGGAAGAAAAUUAGGUUUUGUAUAGGGUGUAUUUACUGAAAAAAUAGGAGAGAGGUAGGGUGCAAAAACUAGGGCAUACUCAUUUUUCCCUAUUAUUAUUUGGGAUAUAACCAGUAUUAGUAAAUUUGUUUAGUGGGGCUUAAUUACCAAUUGGUGGGGCUUGAAUACCGGCUCUCUAUACACAGUAAUUUAUAGGCUUACCUAAUAUCAACCAUAUUUAAUACCCAAUAUAUAAAGAUUUUAUUCUUUAGGGUUUCCUAUGCGUUUGUGCCCUCUCUCUUUAGAUUGUUCUGAAGUCCAAAACGUCUGCUCUCUAUACAUUAACUAAAAAUGGAGCCAUGCGGAGAACCAAUCCCCAUUAGAGGCGGAGAACCAAUCCCCAUUAGAGGCAGAGACGAAGUUCCCCAAAUAGUCUCAAGCGGAGAGAAAUGGACGGGGCUAGAGACUAAGAAACUAAAUGGGGAUGGGGAUGGAGAUAGGGGUACCCGGCCUCAUACCCACCCGUUAACAUCCCUAACUAAAGAUAGAGCAAAUGAAAUAUCAAUCAAGAAUAUUUCCCCAGGGUUUAUAAUAAUUGGGUAUUUGGGUUUUAAAUGAAUUGCUGUUUCGAUUCCACAUCACAGUAAAAAUUUACAAGGCUAACUGAAUCCUAUUUCAUGAACACAAUAAACAUUAUUUCCUGGAAUUCUGGAAACCAUUCAAUUUUUUAUUUAUUCAUUUUUUUAUUUUAUUUUUUUGAUAUAGGUAGCCCUUUAUUAUAUACUGGAAUACCAUUCAAUUGGUCCAUCAAUAUAAAUCACCAUUUCGAUCCCCUACACAGUAAACAUUUACAUCGCUGACUCCUAAACCAUGAACACAGAACACCUAGCGAGAGAGACAUUGGGAUAUGAACAUUGUUUUGAAAAAAAUUGUGGUCCGCUAAAGGUAAAAAGCAGGAUCUUGAAGAGCUCAAGAGAGAGUGGCAAUAUCAACCUCGUGUGGGAAUUUGAAUGUAUCUGCUGCUCCAAAUUUUCUCUUCUCUUCCCAAUCUUCACUAGACUCUUCUUCAGAACUAUCAUCAUGUCCAUCAUGUUGACUACGAGGAGUCAUGGGAUCAUAAACACUUUUAGAGCGGGAAUCUUUUGUUGCAAGCAUGUUGACUUGACCAAG